This is a long non-coding RNA of Pieris napi, 1657 nucleotides long. RefSeq lists it as uncharacterized. The record is from RefSeq and is a predicted model, not a curated record. The transcript has 2 exons. NCBI's taxonomy places the organism in Eukaryota, Metazoa, Arthropoda, Insecta, Lepidoptera, Pieridae.
GACAUUAGUAAAGUUGUGAGACAGCAUAUUCUAAUGUAAAAAGCAUUUUUUUAGAUGUUAGUACAGCUUUUAUACAGCUUUUUGAAUUACAAUGCCAAAGUUACGUUUUAUUCUAAGGCUGAACGUUUUAUUUUCUUUGUAUAAAAAUAUUUGAAAAAACUUAUCGAAACUUAUAUGUCCGAAUUGAUUAUAUAUAUUUCGUUUAGUGUAUUGCAGUGCAUUGGUGUUGUGCGAAUUGAAAAUAAUUUAUCAUAAGGUAAGACAAACAUCAAUUUUAUUUUGUUUUGAAUGCAAAUGAGUUGGGGGUAUUAGUCUUAUGUGAAAAUAUAUAUAUGUUUGUGGCUUAUAAUUCACGCGCCGUCACAGAAAUGCUUUUUAAUAAAAAAUAGGGACAAAUUUAGAAUCGACAUCAGCUGACCUUUUGUAAUUUUUUAACGAUUUCAUUAAUUUUAACGUAUAAAAUUGUUUCUAUCGAUACUUCGCUUAUAAAAAAAACAUAAUAAGUAGUAUUUCAUUCAUAUGUGUGUUAUAAUUUUAUUUUUUAUGUUCGAGAAAACAGAAAGCAAAUGGCGUCAUGUAAUAUUAAUGUUCUAAACUUUCAACUAGUGUCUUUUAAUGUUGUCAGUCUUAUUAUAGUAUAAAAAAAUAGCUUAAGUCAUUCAACCUACAUAAAAAAUAUCUAAGUGAUAUCUUUAGCAUUAUAGUAACACUUUUUAGGCAUGUUAUAAUGUUUAUUACCCUUAUACGUCAUAAAAAUGGAUUGCUAUAGUGUUAAUCAGGGUACCGAAAUAAUAAUUUAGAAUCCCUUAAUUACAUGAUACCCUACUCCACGUCUUUCAUAUUUUAUCUGUCUCCAGUUAGAUAAUUUUCCAAGUGUAAGUAUAAAAUCAUUAUCACAAUAAAUGAGUUGGGGAAUUCCCUGAAUCAUGUGCCCGAAUAGAACGAACGGGACGUGCGACUUAAAGUCGAUAAAACAACAAUCCCUACAAAACGUGACGUCACUUGCACCAAGAGAACGACCUCUAUUCAUUAGUAGUACUUGAUUCCUGUCCCUGUGACGACGCGCGCUCAUUUGCUAAAUAUUGUGUAUUUUAUUUUUGAUUAAUUUAAACACCGGCGUGAUCACGAUCCCUUACAGAUGCCUUUUAAAAUUGUGCAAACGACCGAAAGGGGAUCAACUAAACUGUUUAUUGUUCCAAGCGGGUGGGAAAGUCAGCGUCAACUGCGAUAUCCAAAAAGACCUAAUGAGUCUGCAUUAGUAAGGAAUGAAAAUUCCAAGCCUCGCGCAGAUUGGUCAGUGUUGCCUUGUAAAGUCAAACGGACGGGUUUUUUAACCUAUGAAGAUGCUGACGAGGAAUUGUCAAUUAUGAUGCAGCAUAGCGACACAGAUACCGGCCCCACUAUUUAUGAAGCCCAAAGGGAAACCCAGCUCGCAAUGUCAGGAUUACCAGAUUUCAAUAACUUGGCCGACCAACUAGUAACACUUCUGCAAAAUAAUUUUCAUUUUCAAAUCUUGAAUGUACUACGGAACCACUUGCUAGAACUUCUUGAACGGUGCUUGGCUCAUACACAACUACCGAUUGUUCUGUAUUUUGUGUAUCAUUGUUUGGAACACGUUUUUCAUUACUUAAACCAGAUAUAAAAUUUGAGUAUUCCA